Molecule: ribosomal RNA, 253 nt
Filed under: uncultured bacterium
Lineage: Bacteria
Description: partial 16S ribosomal RNA
Rfam family: Bacterial small subunit ribosomal RNA
Source: RNAcentral
AACGUAGGAGGCAAGCGUUAUCCGGAGUUACUGGGCGUAAAGGGCGUGCAGGUGGUUCAGUAAGUUGGUUAUGAAAGCUCCUGGCUAAACUGGGAGAGGUUGACCAAGACUGCUGAACUUGAGUGGAUGAGAGGUAAACGGAAUUCCGCGUGUAGUGGUGAAAUGCGUAGAGAUGCGGAGGAACACCAGUGGCGAAGGCGGUUUACUGGCAUCCAACUGACACUGAGACGCGAAAGCAUGGGUAGCGAACGGG